RNAcentral lists this ribosomal RNA (472 nucleotides) under uncultured bacterium. Its description in RNAcentral is "bacterial SSU rRNA". It matches the Rfam family "Bacterial small subunit ribosomal RNA", at positions 26 to 518 of the family's 1533-position model. The record is from RNAcentral.
AGGACGAACGCUGGCGGCGUGCUUCAUACAUGCAAGUCGAACGAGAAAUUCACUUCGGUGGAUGGAAAGUGGCGGACGGGUGAGUAAAAUGUAGAGAAUCUGCCCUUUAGUGGGGGACAACAGUUGGAAACGACUGCUAAUACCCCAUAUGCGCGUAGUUGAGAUACUAUUCGUGAAAACUCCGGUGCUAAAGGAUGAGUCUGCAUCUGAUUAGCUAGUUGGUGGUGUAAUGGACUACCAAGGCGACGAUCAGUAGCUGGUUUGAGAGGAUGAUCAGCCACAAUGGGACUGAGACACGGCCCAUACUCCUACGGGAGGCAGCAGUAGGGAAUUUUGCGCAAUGGGGGAAACCCUGACGCCAGCAACGCCGCGUGAUUGAAUAAGCCCUUCGGGGUGUAAAGAUCUGUCAGUGGGGACGAAACUUGACGGUACCCACAGAGGAAGCAUCGGCUAACUCCGUGCCAGCCGCGGC